AUUGAACGCUGGCGGCAGGCCUAACACAUGCAAGUCGAGCGGCAGCGGAAAGUAGCUUGCUACUUUGCCGGCGAGCGGCGGACGGGUGAGUAAUGUCUGGGAAACUGCCUGAUGGAGGGGGAUAACUACUGGAAACGGUAGCUAAUACCGCAUGACCUCGAAAGAGCAAAGUGGGGGAUCUUCGGACCUCACGCCAUCGGAUGUGCCCAGAUGGGAUUAGCUAGUAGGUGAGGUAAUGGCUCACCUAGGCGACGAUCCCUAGCUGGUCUGAGAGGAUGACCAGCCACACUGGGACUGAGACACGGCCCAGACUCCUACGGGAGGCAGCAGUGGGGAAUAUUGCACAAUGGGCGCAAGCCUGAUGCAGCCAUGCCGCGUGUGUGAAGAAGGCCUUAGGGUGUAAAGCACUUUCAGCGAGGAGGAAGGCAUCAUACUUAAUACGUGUGGUGAUUGACGUUAUCGCAG
This 465-nucleotide ribosomal RNA is filed under the name uncultured bacterium. RNAcentral describes it as "bacterial SSU rRNA". It matches the Rfam family "Bacterial small subunit ribosomal RNA", at positions 30 to 483 of the family's 1533-position model. The record is from RNAcentral.